CCUACGGGAGGCAGCAGUAGGGAAUUUUGCGUAAUGGGCGAAAGCCUGACGCAGCAACACCGCGUGAAUGUUAAGCCCUUUGGGGUUUAAAGUUCUGUCAAUAGGGACGAAUAUUGACUGUACCUGUACAAGAAGCACCGGCUAACUCCGUGCCAGCAGCCGCGGUAAUACGGGGGGUGCAAGCGUUGUCCGGAAUCAUUGGGCGUAAAGCGAUCGUAGGCGGCAAGGUAAGUCUGAUGUGAAAGCCCGGGGCUCAACUCCGGGUCGGCAUUGGAUACUAUCUAGCUAGAAUGUGGUAGAGGUAAAGGGAAUUCCUGGUGUAGCGGUGAAAUGCGUAGAUAUCAGGAGGAACAUCAGUGGCGAAGGCGCUUUACUGGACCAUUAUUGACGCUGAGGAACGAAAGCCAGGGGAGCAAAUGGGAUUAGAUACCCUUGUAGUC
This 440-nucleotide ribosomal RNA is filed under the name uncultured bacterium. RNAcentral describes it as "partial 16S ribosomal RNA". It matches the Rfam family "Bacterial small subunit ribosomal RNA", at positions 338 to 795 of the family's 1533-position model. The record is from RNAcentral.